AAGGGAGACCUAAUUCAGGUAGGAGACGAAAAAAAAGUAGUCCCAACCAAGAAUCAAUCCCAAAAGGUCGGAGCGAGGCGAAAUUGACUUUCAAACUAGGUUCUGGGUUCACACAAGACCUGAAUCAGGAACAAGGGCUAUUAGCUCAGGUGGUUAGAGCGCACCCCUGAUAAGGGUGAGGUCCCUGGUUCGAGUCCAGGAUGGCCCACCUGCACAGGUGGCAAAAACAAGAGAAGCGAGGAAUCAGCACCUUAUCUUAUCUAUAUAUAUAUAGGAGAGAAUGCUGGCUCUGAGUAAAGAGUCCAGAGGAACCUUGAAAACUGCAUAGAGCUAGGUGAAAAAGCCAAAAAAGAAGACCGCAA
This 362-nucleotide transfer RNA is filed under the name Microcystis aeruginosa. Its description in RNAcentral is "16S-23S ribosomal RNA intergenic spacer". The stretch from base 135 to 208 matches the Rfam family "tRNA". RNAcentral also lists the same sequence under 1 other name. Lineage: Bacteria; Bacillati; Cyanobacteriota; Cyanophyceae; Chroococcales; Microcystaceae. The record is from RNAcentral.